This 77-nucleotide transfer RNA is filed under the name Klebsiella pneumoniae. RNAcentral describes it as "tRNA-Arg". It matches the Rfam family "tRNA". From Rfam's summary of the family: Transfer RNA (tRNA) molecules are approximately 80 nucleotides in length. Their secondary structure includes four short double-helical elements and three loops (D, anti-codon, and T loops). RNAcentral also lists the same sequence under 2 other names. Lineage: Bacteria; Pseudomonadati; Pseudomonadota; Gammaproteobacteria; Enterobacterales; Enterobacteriaceae. The record is from RNAcentral.
GCAUCCGUAGCUCAGCUGGAUAGAGUACUCGGCUACGAACCGAGCGGUCGGAGGAUCGAAUCCUCCCGGAUGCACCA